Molecule: ribosomal RNA, 220 nt
Filed under: uncultured Glomus
Lineage: Eukaryota; Fungi; Glomeromycota; Glomeromycetes; Glomerales; Glomeraceae
Description: partial small subunit ribosomal RNA
Rfam family: Eukaryotic small subunit ribosomal RNA
Source: RNAcentral
CCAAUAGCGUAUAUUAAAGUUGUUGCAGUUAAAAAGCUCGUAGUUGAAUUUCGGGAUCAGUACGCUGGUCGUACCUUCGGUACGUACUGGUGUCACUGAUUCCUCCCUUCUGAAGAACCAUCAUGCCAUUCAGUUGGUGUGGCAGGGAAUCAGGACUGUUACUUUGAAAAAAUUAGAGUGUUUAAAGCAGGCUCGCGCUUGAAUACAUUAGCAUGGAAUA